Long non-coding RNA from Actinia tenebrosa (Australian red waratah sea anemone), 270 nucleotides. The record is from RefSeq and is a predicted model, not a curated record. NCBI's taxonomy places the organism in Eukaryota, Metazoa, Cnidaria, Anthozoa, Actiniaria, Actiniidae.
ACCACAGCAAACAUAUGAUGCUGCUCCAUCAGUUGAUAAUAAGCAUGGAAAACGUCUGAAGGUCAGUUGGCACUACAGGUUGGCUUCUACUUGAAAUGGAACCUUAAAGCCUUUGAAGAAAGUUUGUCAUUGCACUGGCAAAACCUGUUUUUCAAUGAACUAUUAAAGCUUCAAACACCAUCAUACCAAAAUGUGAAGAAUGGAUUGGUAUCGCUCAAGGAACUCAAUGAAAAAUCUGCCAUGGCUCUUAUUAUAUAUUGUCGCUGGUGA